UAAGAACAUUCUAUAAAAUAAGAAGAAAAGAUAUCACAUAAUUUCAUACAAACAAACUGAGAAUUAGGAGACUACUAGAGUUCUUAACAGAAAUAAUUUAAACUUGAAAAGAACAGAAAAAUGCCUUCAAAAAUCUGAGGAGAAAUUAUUUUCUACUUAGAAUUAUAUGCCCAGCAAAAUUAUGAAUACAUGUGAAUCUAGAAUAAAGAUAACUUCUGAACAUUCUUGGUUUCAAAGAUGUAUCUCCCAUGCAUCAUUUUAAAGAAAAUUAUAAGAAAAUAUACUUCACUAAAAUAAGGGAGUAAUCUAAGAAAAGGGAGUAUUCUGAUAUUCAAGAAAUCAUGGCUUUAAUCUAAGAGAGGUAAUGGGACUCUGCAAAAUGAUAGUGAAGAAGUAAUGUCAAAUAAUACCUGUGAAAUAAACCUACAGAUCAAUUUAUUUAAAUUGGGUCAAAUAAAAAUGGGUAGGAGAUAUUUCCUCAAAAAGAUAAAAAAAAGAAUACUUAAUCUAUAGAAAUAUUGGAUGGAGAUUUAUACAACUGGGGGAGGGUUGCAGAUUGAAUUAGUGAUUAAAAACAAAGACAAAAUGAAGCAAUUAUUAAUCUAUAAAUACAAAAAUUAUGUAGGAAAAUGACUGUGGAUUAUUAUAUGCUUUGUUAUGAAAAUAGUUUAAAUAAUAUUAAUAAUAUACACACUGAGUAUUGGUUUAACCAAAUGUUUUAUUUAACUAUAUUAGGAUGAUAGAAAAGUAGAAGGUGUUUAUAUAAAUGCUGUGUGAGAAGAGACGAGGGUCCUUAAAGAAAGCUAAAUUCUUAUCUUUUCUAGUGGAAAUAGAUAACCCCUAAACUGGUAAAUGAAGAAAAUAAUAAUAUAAGAAUAUUAUUUUCCAGCCGGACACGGUGGCUUACGCCUGUAAUACCAGCACUUUGGGAGGCCAAGGCGGGUGGAUCACGAGGUCAGGAGAUCGAGACCAUCCUGGCUAACACAGUGAAACCCCAUCUCUACUAAAAAUACAAAAAAAUUAGCCGGGCUUGGUGGCGGGCGCCUGUAGUCCCAGCUACUCGGGAGGCUGAGGCAGGAGAAUGGCGUGAACCCGGGAGGCGGAGCUUGCAGUGAGCUGAGACUGUUCACUAAUCAUCUCUUAGGCAUUAUGUUAGGGACAGAGAUUACAGUGUUAUUCUGAAUUCAGUAGGUCUGUGUUGAGGCUUGAAAAUUUACAUUUCUAAAAUGCUCUCAGAUGAUUUUGAUGACGCCAAUAGGAGCAACACACAUUGAGAAUACUGCUAUUGACUAUAUAUAAUUCGAUAUAAGUAUGAUUGUAAACAUACUGCCCCCUAAGGGGAAAGUCCAACAACUUAUAAUUUGCUUACGGCCACUGCCGGUUUUAACAAAGGCGAAUAUGAAUCAAAAAAGACAAAAAUUUGUCUGGAAGUAGAAGUAAAGAUAUAGCCCUCAUGCCUUGCAGCAUCAGAGAUUACAGGGUUAAAAAAGACAAAAUCUAUGUGCAUCAGGACUAAUCUUUGACCUUCUAGAGAAGUACUGUCCAAAAGAAAUAGGAUAUGAGCCAAAAAUACAAUUUUAAAUAUUCUAGUAGCCAUAUUAAAGAAGAAUAAAUAAGUAAAAUCAAUUGUAAUAAUAUAUCUUAUUUAUCCAAAUAUAGCUAAAAUAUCAUUUUAACAUGUAAUCAGUAGAAACAUUAUUAAUGAGCUCUUUUACAUUCUUUGUUUUCAUACUAAGGUAUAGUAUAAAUUAGUUUGUAAUUUAUACCUGCCCAAAUCUGCUGGCACGUUAAUCUUGGACUUCCUAGCCUCCAGAACUGUUGCGGGAAGUCAGGGACCCUGAACAGAGGGACCGGCUGGAGCCGAGGCAGAAGAACAUAAAUUGUGAAGAUUUCAUGGACAUUUAUCAGUUCCCAAAAUUAAUACUUUUAUAAUUUCUUACACCUCUCUUUACUGCAUUCUCUGAACAUAAACUGUGAAGAUUUCAUGGACAUUUAUCACUUCUUCCCGAAUUAAC
RNAcentral lists this long non-coding RNA (2015 nucleotides) under Homo sapiens (human). RNAcentral's name for it is "non-protein coding lnc-VCAN-5:1". Lineage: Eukaryota; Metazoa; Chordata; Mammalia; Primates; Hominidae. The record is from RNAcentral.